Long non-coding RNA from Peromyscus californicus insignis, 2268 nucleotides. RefSeq lists it as uncharacterized. The record is from RefSeq and is a predicted model, not a curated record. The transcript is spliced from 3 exons. Lineage: Eukaryota; Metazoa; Chordata; Mammalia; Rodentia; Cricetidae.
CGGUAGGCCAGAUCCUUUCGUGCCAGAUGUUGCCGGAAGGCACACUGGAUGAUAAUGGCGGCUUUGUCCUCAGCGGUUGGGGCUGGAGUGAGGAGAGCAGAGAUUUUGGACCCCAGUCCUCCUUCCUAGCCACCACCCAUGCAGCUUCUGGGGCCAUAUAGAGGACCUGAAUGGUUCUCAGAAAGCAUGAAGGCUGGAUGCAGGGACCAUGUCUGUCUCCCAACACUCAGGAGGACCUAUGGAGUCCAGGAGUUUGAAACCGGCCAGGGCUAUGUGGUAGACAGUGUCUCAACAGUGAUAAAAAUUCCUAAACAGCUGAGUCAGAAUAAUGCUCCCUCAGUAGAACCAGGCAGGGAAGGAGAGCCGGCCAGGCUUGAACAGGAAGUCCACAUCCCCUGGGGCCUGAAAAUCGCAAGCAAUCUGCAGCUGGAAAGAUACUGUCUGGGAGAAGUUGUAGGAAGCCUCCAGGAAAGAACAUCAAAACUGACACUGGUCCUCGGGGCUCACCCACCAGAGCCAGAGGCUCAACGCAUCCUCGAAGCCUGGUGGUUGCAGCUAAGCCAUAAACAGCCCCCAAAGGGGAGGGUCUCAAGUGGUCUCAGUCCACAGCCCAGGACACUCAGAAGAGGCUGUGAGUCCAGAACGUGGGCCUAUAUAACCACACAUUCAGGCCAUUUUGCAGAAGUCUACCUGCUGCUGGCCUGGCACAGUGGCUUCCAGGAGCGGGGGAUGGGGAAGACACCAUGCAGUUCCUCCUGUCACUGGGCUGGAACUACAUGGGUUUUGGGGAUUGAACUCAGGUUCAAUGUCUGUGCCGCAAGCCAUUUGCUGAAUGCACCAUCUCCUGGUCCCCAGAAAGGAAUCUUUUGAUUCAGCCUUUGAUCUGUCCCGGCAGAUUUCCAAUCAGCUGCAGACUGCAAACUGCUCCCGAACUGUCUGCAACGUGCCAGGCCCAGGUCAUCUCCUCACUCCAGGCAUUGACCAGCAUUCCAGCCUUCCUGUCCCCCCCCCCCCACCAUCACUCUCUAAUUUCAGCUUAGAAACAGUUAAAGAAGAGAUUACUUGGCACUUUAUCAUCAACAAAAAGGCUGGAAUGUCGAGUCCAAAAAUGGCUAAUUGUGGAGCCUAUAAGAUACUAAAGCACGUGCUGGCCUCCAGCUCUCUCAGCAUCUCAGAGUCCAUGUUGGCAUCUUGGUUCCUCUCACUCCGCCCCACCAUCCACAGAACUGCUCCAGCUCCUAGGCUUCCCUUCCCCCAGCUCCUCAUUCCUAUAUACGCUGCCAUUUCAGCUAUGUGUUCUCGGCCCCCUCUCUCUUGGUCGUCUCUUCUCUUCCUCUCUCACUCUCCUGGUCUCUCUCCCUUCUCACUGCCCAGUUCACUCUGCAGGCCAUGUUGAGUGUACACUUUCUCUCUCUGCUCUGCGGUCUGUCUACACAUUCCCGAUGCCGUUACAAUAAAAAACCUUCCCCUCAACCAUACCUUGGAGCAGUCAUGCCCUCACUUUAUAUACACUACCAUCCCUUUUAGAAUGGAAAUGUACAGUCUAUGCCCUUGUAUGAUGGAAGUAUGUAAUUUGCUUUUAUAUUUUACAGGAGUUACAAUUAAGAGAUUGCCUUGAGUCUCAGAAGAGACUUUGGACCUUUUUUUGAUGUUGUUGUCUUUCUGUGUAGUUCUGGCUGUCCUGGAGCUCACUAUGUAGACCAGGCUGGCUUCGAACUCACAGGGAUCUGCCUGCCUCUGCCUCCCAGGUGCUGGGAUUAAAGGCUUGUGCCCGGCUCUGAUUUUGGACUUUAAAACUACGAUAUUUUGAAAGACUAUGGGGACUUUUGAAAUCAGGCUAAAUACAUUUUUUGCAUUAUGAUAUGGUCAUGGUCCAAUGGGAGUCAAGUAUACAUUUGAAUGAGAAGAUUCUCCCACACAGACUCAUGUAUCUGAACACAUGGCUCCCAGUUGGUGGUGCUGUUUGGGGGGUUUAGGUGGUACAGCCUCGCUGGAAGACAAAACAUCACUGGGAGCAGCUUGAGAUCAGACGGCCGCGCCUGCUUCCAGUUUGCGCUCUCUGCUUCACACCUGUGGUGGAAGAUGCGGUAAGCCCUCAGCUUCCUGUUCCUGCCGCCGCCAUAUCUUCUUCUCCUUGCCGCCAUGCUUCCCUGCCACGAUGGACUCUCUCUGGAACAAAAUCCAAACGAAACUCUUCCUUCUAUAGGCUCCCUCGGUUGUGUGGUAUUUUAUCACGAUAACAGAAAAGUAAAACACCUUCUAAAAGUU